This 331-nucleotide ribosomal RNA is filed under the name uncultured Sporomusa sp. RNAcentral describes it as "bacterial SSU rRNA". It matches the Rfam family "Bacterial small subunit ribosomal RNA", at positions 505 to 835 of the family's 1533-position model. Lineage: Bacteria; Bacillati; Bacillota; Negativicutes; Selenomonadales; Sporomusaceae. The record is from RNAcentral.
GUGUCAGCCGCCGCGGUAAUACGUAGGUGGCAAGCGUUGUCCGGAAUUAUUGGGCGUAAAGGGCGUGUAGGUGGAUUCUUAAGUCGUGUGUCUAAGUGCGGUGCUCAACACCGUAUGGGCGCAGGAAACUGGGAAUCUUGAGUGCAGGAGAGGAAAGUGGAAUUCCCAGUGUAGCGGUGAAAUGCGUAGAUAUUGGGAGGAACACCAGUGGCGAAGGCGACUUUCUGGACUGUGUCUGACACUGAGGCGCGAAAGCCAGGGGAGCGAACGGGAUUAGAUACCCCGGUAGUCCUGGCCGUAAACGAUGGGUACUAGGUGUAGAGGGUAUCGA